GAUGGACGCUGGCGGCGUGCUUAACACAUGCAAGUCGAACGGAAAGGCCUCUGCUUGCAGGGGUACUCGAGUGGCGAACGGGUGAGUAACACGUGGGUGAUCUGCCCUGCACUUCGGGAUAAGCCUGGGAAACUGGGUCUAAUACCGGAUAGGACAAUGGUUUGGAUGCUGUUGUGGAAAGUUUUUCGGUGUGGGAUGAGCUCGCGGCCUAUCAGCUUGUUGGUGGGGUAAUGGCCUACCAAGGCGUCGACGGGUAGCCGGCCUGAGAGGGUGUACGGCCACAUUGGGACUGAGAUACGGCCCAGACUCCUACGGGAGGCAGCAGUGGGGAAUAUUGCACAAUGGGCGCAAGCCUGAUGCAGCGACGCCGCGUGGGGGAUGACGGCCUUCGGGUUGUAAACUCCUUUCGCUAGGGACGAAGCGUUUUUGUGACGGUACCUGGAGAAGAAGCACCGGCUAACUACGUG
This 467-nucleotide ribosomal RNA is filed under the name uncultured bacterium. Its description in RNAcentral is "partial 16S ribosomal RNA". It matches the Rfam family "Bacterial small subunit ribosomal RNA", at positions 28 to 507 of the family's 1533-position model. The record is from RNAcentral.